Molecule: long non-coding RNA, 1447 nt
Organism: Schistocerca serialis cubense
Lineage: Eukaryota; Metazoa; Arthropoda; Insecta; Orthoptera; Acrididae
Exons: 3
Source: RefSeq, a predicted model, not a curated record
GUUCGGCGCGCGCUCUGCUCACAGUGCCCGAGGCGACGCCGCUCGCAGCAGUGGGCGAAGCUCAGCGCGACUUCUACUGAAGGCUUCAACCGAAGUGAUAAAGGCUCUUUCCGCCAACCGUAUGGAAGAAUGUACUCCGCAAUUUCUACCCAAGGGUUUCUGCCGGCCCUCGUCUCUUUACCUAUUUGAUCCUCGCCGGCCGGAGUGGCCGAGCGGUUCUAGGCACUGCAGUCUGGACCGGCGAGACCGCUACGGUCGCAGCUUCGAAUCCUGCCUCGGGCACGGAUGUGCGUGUUGUUCUUAGAUCCUGAUGGUCGAGAAAAGCUGUGUCCUGUCAAGUCAGCGAGUUUGCUACGCCCAGCCGACUGCUGAAUCACGGCGUGCGGCAAAGAUAACAACUACGAUGCAGUUGGCCACUACGAACGUUUGCCGGCGGCUGCUAAGAAGAAACACUUAUUGUUAAAGAGAGAAUUAGAGUGACAUGUUUGUUGCAGAGAAUGGUUCUUGGGUUGUCCUUUCAGAAUUUCUGUAGUAGUGUCCAAAUGCUGUUCUAGUAAUGAGCCUCGCGGGAGCUUAUCUCAAGAGUGUGAUGAGAUCGGUUCACACGUUCGAUACGUGAAUUAGUCUGCAAUGGGGGAUAGAACUCAAGUGUGUUGAAAGCAGUUCUAAGUCGUUUGAAAAGAAGUUAUAAGAGUACUAUGGGCUUGUGUAGAAAACGAUUAUUCUGCCGAUUUAGGUAGGGUGUAGACUCGCCAAGUGUAGGAAAAGCUCCGAUGUGUUGAGGGGUGAGAUUAGUGUCUCCUAUGUGCGAUCAGUGGUGCUUUGUGCUACUUAACAGCCACGCGUUUGUAGGCGAACUGUGUUUCAAUCUUUUUGAGAGAUUUCCCGUUGUAUGGCAUAUGUGAAGAGAGGUGUUCACGCGAAGUCGUGUAGUUAUAUUGUGGUUGAGCAUUAAAGCACGCACUAAGGGACAGUGGUGUUGCAUUGUGUAAUUGUGGUUGUGUAGAUGUACGCAAGAACUGAGAAAUAGUGACUUAGCGAUAUUUGGUUAGGAUUUACUGUGUGACUGCGGCGUGAGCGUCGUAAUAUAGUAAAUUCCGGAAAUCUUGUUGAAUGCACUGAAUGUGUAGUCUACGUUAGAGUACGGUCGUCCUACGUAUUAGUUAUUUAUCGAGAAACACUCGGAAGUGUACUGAGAAUCUGAUAGCUUUUCCCCUUGUCUCUAAACGACAAAUCAAGAACCACCUAUUAACGAACACACUAAGUCUCCGUAAAAGAGAUCGUCAAGUGCUGAGUUUUGGGUUUUAAAUAUUAGUGAGUCGCGGAAGUCAACGUCUGAAGUGGUUGAGCUUUGACUGAUUAUUUAAAAUUCGUCUAGUUAAAAAGUGACAUUCAGAUUUAUUGUUCCAUUUUUUAAUUACAUUUCCGCAUAGCGUGGUUUGGAACA